GCUCCUGUCGUCUAGCCCGGUCAAGGAUAGUGGCCUUUCGAGCCACUUACGCGGGUUCAAAUCCCGCCGGGAGCA
Molecule: transfer RNA, 75 nt
Filed under: Candidatus Woesearchaeota archaeon
Lineage: Archaea; Nanobdellati; Candidatus Woesearchaeota
Description: tRNA-Glu
Rfam family: tRNA
About the family: Transfer RNA (tRNA) molecules are approximately 80 nucleotides in length. Their secondary structure includes four short double-helical elements and three loops (D, anti-codon, and T loops).
Source: RNAcentral